Molecule: long non-coding RNA, 402 nt
Organism: Xiphophorus hellerii (green swordtail)
Lineage: Eukaryota; Metazoa; Chordata; Actinopteri; Cyprinodontiformes; Poeciliidae
Exons: 2
Source: RefSeq, a predicted model, not a curated record
AGCUGACACCCCACCCACGUCAAAAAAUUCAGCAAAUAGUCUGAGUGGUUAGUGCUCCGUUAGUGCAGGUUUGUACCGUUAAAACGGUCGUUUGUGCAGCUUUGGUUUCUGAAAUAUUAAAAAUUAUAAUUAUGGCCGAUGACUUCACCAUCCCCCCAUGUUGCUCCAAAACAAACCAAACUGGGCUACUGCUCAUUAUGAGAUAUUACAUAAUUUUCUUUCGUACGCCAACUGACUUCCCCUAAAUUGAUGACUGUGGCCUGCUUUGGACAUAACCGCAAAGCAAGCAGUUAUUAAUUUCGUAUGUUAUUGUGUAAGUUAAAUUCUGCAGAUUUUCAGCUGUUGUACAAUGUGUACCUUCUUUUGUUUUGAACUUCAAUAAAGAUUUAGAACAAGAAGAAA